RNAcentral lists this ribosomal RNA (253 nucleotides) under uncultured bacterium. RNAcentral describes it as "partial 16S ribosomal RNA". It matches the Rfam family "Bacterial small subunit ribosomal RNA", at positions 524 to 776 of the family's 1533-position model. The record is from RNAcentral.
UACAGAGGGGGCAAGCGUUGUUCGGAAUUACUGGGCGUAAAGGGCGCGUAGGCGGCCUUCUAAGUCGAACGUGAAAUCCCUGGGCUCAACCCAGGAACUGCGUCCGAUACUUGAAGGCUUGAAUCCGGGAGAGGGAUGCGGAAUUCCAGGUGUAGCGGUGAAAUGCGUAGAUAUGCGGAGGAACACCGAUGGCGAAGGCAAUCCCCUGGACCUGUACUGACGCUCAUGCACGAAAGCGUGGGGAGCAAACAGG